Mesocricetus auratus (golden hamster) is the source of this 576-nucleotide long non-coding RNA. RefSeq lists it as uncharacterized. The transcript is spliced from 3 exons. The record is from RefSeq and is a predicted model, not a curated record. NCBI's taxonomy places the organism in Eukaryota, Metazoa, Chordata, Mammalia, Rodentia, Cricetidae.
UCUAGAGUACUCAUUUAGGGGAAAGCUACCUUCACGUGCGAAUUAUUCUUUGUCCAUGUUCCUGGAUCCCUGGAAAUGCUUACAAGGUUGAAGAAGGCAAAGUCAACAGUCAGGAUUCCUCCCAAGAGGGGACCAUUCCAAUGUAACAAGCUGAUACACUCAAAAGAGGGAAUCAAGGAAAAUUCAAUGGAAAAUCUACUUGCCAAGAUGUGGCCAGAGCCAGGGAGACUUCCAAGGGUCAUUGCAGCAUCCCAAGGUCUGGCAGACAAGGAGUUGGAACAACACGAAGCCUGCUUUCCUUCUGCUAUCCAUUCCCUCUGCCAAUAGAUCAUAUUGACUAAACCUAAGUGGAAGCCAGAAGGCAAAGACCAAACUGUGGUGAUCCCUGAGAGAUUCUCUGGUGUGGGUCAGGGAUAGAAGGGCAAAGAGAAGACAUGGAUGGGCAAAUAAAUAAAUCUUGCAUAGGUUCUUUAUCUGCAGUUUGGAACUACUUAAAACUACCUUUGUUACAUAUAUGCCUGAAAAGGAAGCCAAAAGAGAAUGAACUCCAGAUAGAAUACAGUUUUUCAUAUAUUU